Molecule: unclassified non-coding RNA, 274 nt
Filed under: Hevea brasiliensis (rubber tree)
Lineage: Eukaryota; Viridiplantae; Streptophyta; Magnoliopsida; Malpighiales; Euphorbiaceae
Source: RNAcentral
UCCAACCCGAAGGUUAUUGUUUUGCUCGACGGCAAGAGUUUUCCGGUACUUUUCGAUGUAUCGAAAGUUGAAAAGAAGGAUCUUUUCACCGGAACUUUCAUGCCGUCGACUGAACUCACCGGUGGUUACCGUAUUCUUUCGUAUCUCGACCCAUCUGAACCAAACCAUGAAAAAUUGAAAAAAUUGAUGUUCUACCUUCUUUCUUCUCGUCCUGAUCAUGUUAUACCUGAAUUCCAUGAAACUUAUACAGAGCUUUUCGAAAUCCUAGAUAAGG